Molecule: long non-coding RNA, 1015 nt
Filed under: Scophthalmus maximus (turbot)
Lineage: Eukaryota; Metazoa; Chordata; Actinopteri; Pleuronectiformes; Scophthalmidae
Description: lncRNA (ENSSMAG00000025559.1)
Source: RNAcentral
UUGAAACCGAACUAACAGCAGAGGCAGAGAAUUAGCAGCUCGCUCCUAAAUGCUCAUUAAUGUACCCAGAUGUUUUCUACAGGACUUUCUUCUCCACCAAUACUGAGGAGGAGGAGGUGAACCUGAGGUAAACUGAAGUUAACAAAAGGCUAAUCAACCAAUCAUGUGGCGCCGGUCACUGUCCUCUUGAUAAAAGAUACCAUCACCAGUUUUUUAAAGGAUUCAUCAAAGGACUUCACCUUCAUCCUUUUGCACUUGGUGAGUUUACAGUUUAUUCGACAACACUUUCUCUGGAAAAACACUGAUCAUCUGAUCAAUAAUUCAUCAUUGUCUAUUUUCUCUCCUGCUCACACACACAGGACGCCGUCGCUUGUUUUAGGAUUCAUCGCGCUGAAUUCAUCACAGCGCAGUAUUGGAUUUCACAACGCCACGUUGUCAAGAAAACUUGGUGGAAUGAUGGGACGUGGGUCGAGAAGAAAUCCAUAAAAUGUUGGGUGUGGAUCUGGACACCCAGGGGCAGACAUCGAACUUAAACCUGAAGAAAACCAAUCCACUUCAUUGAGUCCUUAAUUCGCUGUGCCUGUGGAGAACUGCAGCUUCAUGUGAAGUCAGCGGUGCUGCCUCCAGCUGCUCGCUGACAUUUACAUCAAAGGGUUCAAGGUUCUGCAUCAGGACUCGACUGGAGACCUGUGACCACCGUGUUCGUCCUCGCCGGUAUCACUGAAGCCGUGACGCCGAGUCAGCAGCUCGAGGAGCGACAGGGGGAAAGUUCAGUUGGCUCCACCUGUGAUCACUGGACUGUGCUUUUCUUACUGUGCAACUUUCAGAUUCACAGACGGUUUACGGUCAGAGGACGGACAUGAUCUGUUCAUUUAGAAUGAAAGAGGAAAGUUCUGUGGUCUUGUUUUCCCACUGACACUCAGAGCUUUUAAACACUACAGCUUGACUUUUAUCGGUUGACUGAUCAUUUUUGCCGAUAUGAGUCUUUCACUGACACAUUUCACUAUUUAUCUUU